Portunus trituberculatus (swimming crab) is the source of this 257-nucleotide long non-coding RNA. RefSeq lists it as uncharacterized. Lineage: Eukaryota; Metazoa; Arthropoda; Malacostraca; Decapoda; Portunidae. The record is from RefSeq and is a predicted model, not a curated record. The transcript is spliced from 3 exons.
AACACGGUGACCGCCCCGCUUGCCCCACCUAGUUUACCAGCUCCACCUGCUCAGUGAAAGGUUUGAGGUGGACGUGUCGGAGGAUAUGGGUGGUGAAGUCACGGCGCAGGUUACCCACACCUUUUACCACGCUAACUGGCCGCAGCUUUUCACUGAGGUCGGGCAGGAUUGUAUCUCCGUGUUCUGCUCUAGAAAUGCUCAGACGUGUAGAUGGAAGCACUAGGAGGAAGAAGAAAGAGAAACAAUAGAGGAGGAUG